This 468-nucleotide ribosomal RNA is filed under the name uncultured bacterium. RNAcentral's name for it is "partial 16S ribosomal RNA". It matches the Rfam family "Bacterial small subunit ribosomal RNA", at positions 28 to 507 of the family's 1533-position model. The record is from RNAcentral.
GACGAACGCUGGCGGCGUGCUUAACACAUGCAAGUCGAACGGAAAGGCCCUGCUUUUGUGGGGUGCUCGAGUGGCGAACGGGUGAGUAACACGUGAGUAGCCUGCCCUUGACUUUGGGAUAACUUCAGGAAACUGGGGCUAAUACCGGAUAGGAGCUCCUGCUGCAUGGUGGGGGUUGGAAAGUUUCGGCGGUUGGGGAUGAACUCGCGGCUUAUCAGCUUGUUGGUGGGGUAGUGGCUUACCAAGGCUUUGACGGGUAGCCGGCCUGAGAGGGUGACCGGCCACAUUGGGACUGAGAUACGGCCCAGACUCCUACGGGAGGCAGCAGUGGGGAAUAUUGCACAAUGGGCGGAAGCCUGAUGCAGCAACGCCGCGUGCGGGAUGACGGCCUUCGGGUUGUAAACCGCUUUCGCCUGUGACGAAGCGUGAGUGACGGUAAUGGGUAAAGAAGCACCGGCUAACUACGUG